RNAcentral lists this ribosomal RNA (253 nucleotides) under uncultured bacterium. RNAcentral describes it as "partial 16S ribosomal RNA". It matches the Rfam family "Bacterial small subunit ribosomal RNA", at positions 524 to 776 of the family's 1533-position model. The record is from RNAcentral.
UACGUAGGGGGCAAGCGUUGUCCGGAAUCAUUGGGCGUAAAGCGCGUGUAGGCGGCCCGGUAAGUCCGCUGUGAAAGUCCAGGGCUCAACCCUGGGAUGCCGGUGGAUACUGUCGGGCUCGAGUCCGGAAGAGGAGUGUGGAAUUCCUGGUGUAGCGGUGAAAUGCGCAGAUAUCGGGAGGAACACCGAUAGCGAAGGCAGCUCGCUGGGACGGUACUGACGCUGAGGUGCGAAAGCGUGGGGAGCGAACAGG